AGCUUAUKGAAAAUUUAUAAUAAGUAUAUUCUSCCCAGUGAUUUUAUUUAACGGCCGCGGUACUCUGACCGUGCAAAGGUAGCAUAAUCAUUUGCCUUUUAAUUGAAGGCUAGAAUGAAUGAAUAAACAAGAAUCUAACUUUCCCAGAUUAUAAUUUAAAAAUUAUUCUUUAGGUGAAGAAACCUAAAUUUUAUAAAAAGACAAGAAGACCCUAUCAAGCUUUAUUUUUUUAAAACCCUAUUUUCUAAAAAUAUUUGGUUGGGGCGAUUAAUGGAGUUUUUUAAACCUCCAUAACCUUUAUGAUUUAUAAUUCUCUUAAUUUAAAAAUUUAAAACAAAAAAGCUACUGUAGGGAUAACAGGCUAAUAUCUUCUAAGAGUUCAAAUUAAAGAAGAUGAUUGGCACCUCGAUGUUGGCUUAGGGUUACUCUUUUUUGCAGAAGAAAAAGAAGUUAGUUUGUUCAACUAUUAAAUCCCU
This 476-nucleotide ribosomal RNA is filed under the name Proceraea hanssoni. RNAcentral describes it as "partial 16S ribosomal RNA". It matches the Rfam family "Bacterial large subunit ribosomal RNA", at positions 1826 to 2597 of the family's 2925-position model. Lineage: Eukaryota; Metazoa; Annelida; Polychaeta; Phyllodocida; Syllidae. The record is from RNAcentral.